AGUACUUCUCCCCCCCCCAGGGGGGCUAUAGCAUGAUACAGGUUGGAGAAUACUGCUGUUACUACUGCGAGUACUGCAACUGCUGCUCCUACGCGUACUAAUCCUGCCAAAAGUACUGGGAGGAGAUGACCUCUGCUGGGAGGUUCCCACUUUGCCACUUUCUGUUGUUGUCCUUUUCUUUUUUUUGUUCUCUUAGAGAGGAAAGACGUGACGGCAGCAGUCCUUCCAGCCUCUCCGCCUCGCCGGACGCAGCCGAGCGUUCACUCGCUGCCGUUUGCUCGCUCGUUACUGAACAGAAGUUCAUGUUGCCUUCAGAACUGAGAACGCCUGUCUGCUGAUAAUCACAACCCGCCUGGAUCCUUCUUCAUGUUCCCAGUGCUUCUUUUUAACAGCAGAUAGCGCCGCAGCAUGUCGUGUUAGAGCGUUUGGACUCGGAGGAGAACACCGAUGGGAACAACCGGCGCAGCCUGAAAGACAUUCUCUACUUUUUUCCACUGAUUUUCUCUUUUUACUAAGUGAGGAAGACGCCGGGUUGGUGGAUUCAUCCCCCCAUAACUCCCCAUUACCCCCCUUUGGAUGUGACACUUUGAGCCAUGCUGCUGCUGCUGCUGCUGCUCUGCCUGCAAACCUCACAGCAAGAACAGACUCCUCCUGGUCGGUGUGACAUCUCAGACAGGUUGGACGUUCACACCUCCUGCUCUUCUUGUGCCGCCAUCAACAGGUGCCCCCCCGGCUUCCGCAGCGCGGGCACCGCCAACUGCAGGUAAGCACCAACCGCGAGCUGGGUAGAACGAGCAGAGUGCAGGUACGAGUCGACUGCAGGUACGAGUCGACUGCAGGUACGGGUAGA
Molecule: long non-coding RNA, 850 nt
Organism: Gasterosteus aculeatus aculeatus (three-spined stickleback)
Lineage: Eukaryota; Metazoa; Chordata; Actinopteri; Perciformes; Gasterosteidae
Source: Ensembl